This 1434-nucleotide long non-coding RNA is filed under the name Cyanistes caeruleus (blue tit). RNAcentral describes it as "lncRNA (ENSCCEG00000023031.1)". The record is from RNAcentral. Lineage: Eukaryota; Metazoa; Chordata; Aves; Passeriformes; Paridae.
UGCGGGGCCGCACUCAUCGGCGCCUCCGCAGGGCUGUUCCGCGGCCCCGACCGCUGCUGUCGGGAGCACGACCAGUGCUGGGCGCAAAUCACGGCGCUGCAGUUCAACUACGGUAUCCGGAACUAUCGCCUGCACACCGUGUCCCACUGCGAUUGCGACGCCAGGUUCCGGCAGUGCCUGCUCGCCAUCAACGACACCGUCUCCAACAUCAUUGGCGUCACAUUCUUCAACCUGUUGGAGGUGCCAUGCUUUGUGCUGGAAGAGAGUGAGGAGUGCGUCCAGUGGCACUGGUGGGGCGGGUGUGAGCGUUAUGAUGUAGUGCCUCUUGCCAGGAUGGUGCAGCAGAAUCAGUACCACCCCAGCCUACCAGCAGAGAAGAGGGGAAGCCCUACUGUGCAGCCCCCAGGCAAAAGAAGGACUUUCUCUAGAAGAGGGCGUAAGUGGCUUCGACAGGAACUGAGGGCAAAGCCUAGGCAUCACCAGGUAUGGAGACCUAAGACAGCCCAGCUGCUGCAGGGCCCAGGUACCCCAGCGUUGGCCAGGGACAAGGCUGAGCUCACAACCAGGCACCCAGCAGUGCAGUGGGAGUUAGAGCCUGGCCCUGCAAAAGCACUGACAGUGUCAGGACAGGAUGUGGUUGGAGCAGAGCAAGGAGCUGGAAUCUCAGCAUGUCCUUCGUAUGGCAGCAUUAGACCCAGCCCAGCCACAGCACAGUGUGGAGCCACCCCCAUGCCAGCUGUGAAGGAGCGCAGGGAGCAGGGCACAGGGUGCAGGUGCAACAAACUCCUGGGUAAGUGUGAGCACCAGAUUGCACCCCACGAGGCAAAGUACCAGCUGCACAACGUGGACAGCCGGACACUCCUCCACUGCAACUGCACACACAGGUGUGAGUCCAGGAGGAAAAGGGCACUCUGUGCAUACAGCUGGGGAUCAGAGGAGGUGGGAUGUCUGCCUUGGCCAGCAUUUGCUGAUGUGUGCCCUCCUGUGCCUGCAGGCUGGCACGGUGCCUCCACAGGGCAAGGGACUGCAGUGACAUGGACGUGGCUGUUCUGGCUGACCAUAUCGCCAUGGACUGCUUUGUCCUGGAGCUGCCUGCUGCCUGCAGCCCAGGCAGAGUAUCACAGCACAGGUAAGUGGGGAGGUCAAGAGGCCAGGGCCUGGGUGGGGCAGGAAACCAGUAGUGUAAGUGAUGGCCCCUGCUCUGUUGUGCCACAACCAGGUCGCAGGGCAGGGGGCAGUAGAUGUUGGUGCUGCCAGAUUACAGUGAUGCUCACAGAUUUGCUUCUCCAGCAGCUGUACCACAGUGACCAGGGCUGUGCUUGUACCUGCACGGCAGCUCAAAAAGAUUCUAAGACGCUGGGGCCUUCUGCGUGUGAGCUCCAAGUCCAAACAUCCACACAGGAAGACACAGGCCAGGGGAGGCACCCUCUGUGA